CAGCCGAAACGGUACCCACGCAAGAGGUUACCAACAUCUGUUUCUUUGUUUGCCAAAAGCAUUUCAAGUAUUUUCUGGGGCAUAAUGUGGGCUGCAGUGUGUGUGUGUGUGUGUGUGUGUGUGUGUGUGUGUGUCAGGCACAAUUCAGCGCAUCUAUGAAUUACUCGUUUGUUUGGAGAGGAGGUGGCUGAGGGGCUCCAAAACAGGCCAGGAAAAAUCAGCUUUCGUCCUUAUUCUGUACACUUGCCAGCGCGAACAAAAAAAAAACAAAAAAAUAAAAAGAAAGAAUGAAAGAAAGAAA
Erpetoichthys calabaricus (reedfish) is the source of this 301-nucleotide long non-coding RNA. RefSeq lists it as uncharacterized. The transcript is spliced from 2 exons. The record is from RefSeq and is a predicted model, not a curated record. NCBI's taxonomy places the organism in Eukaryota, Metazoa, Chordata, Cladistia, Polypteriformes, Polypteridae.